Molecule: long non-coding RNA, 1423 nt
Filed under: Olea europaea subsp. europaea
Lineage: Eukaryota; Viridiplantae; Streptophyta; Magnoliopsida; Lamiales; Oleaceae
Source: RNAcentral
ANUGUAUGAAAUAUGUAAUAAGAUCAUAAAGAUAAAACAAGAUUUUAAGUAAAGAAAUCAAAGAAAGUUAAGCAGAGAAAACGAUGUUUUAUUAUAACGAUGAUAUGGAGAGAAAGUUACAACAUAGCAAUUCUGGUUUGAACUAAACUAAAAGAAGAGUUCACUAUUUAUAGGUACAUACCAUACCAUAAAGAUGGAAAUAAUAUGAAAUAAUGAUAGGGCCGGCCCGUGAGCCAAGCUACCUAGGCAACCACCCAGGGCUUCCAAAUUUUGGCUUGGGCCCAAGGCCUCAAAAUCCAUAUUAAUUCCAAAAUGAAAAAAUGGUUUGGGGCCUUUGGGUUUUGGAGUCUACAUAAACAACCGUGAACCACCUCCCUCACUCCUCAAGACUUUUUAUCUUUUAAAUUCGAGAAUUAUUCCACUUCCUCUCAAAUUCAAAAAUUCUCAAAUCUCAAUCCUCUGCUUCGGUUCGGUGCUUCCAGAAUCCAGAAUUCUCUAGGGCCUCCAAGCUUCCAGUUCCAGGGACCAGUUUCAAUGGACAAAAAUUUGAAAUCUACUGUGAAAACCCCCAAUUUCUCCGCCUCUCGCACUCGCAUAGUCGUACGCCGGUCUGUCCUCUGCCAGAUUCCUUUUUUUUUUUUUUUUAUCUUAUCAGGUCCUUGGUUUUGGUAAGCAGCCUUAUAUGUCUGAUUUAGAUUGAUUACUGAUUAAUGAUUAUUUGUUAAUUUGGCUUUGACACUAAAUUUCAUUGUCAUUUUCAUAUUCUUUUAAAAUUUAAUAUCACAGUAUGUCACUAUGAGUCUAAUGGUUUGGUCUUAAUUUAAAUAAAAGGCAAUUUUUUUUUUUGUUUGAUUGGAUUUUAUAUAUUGUAGUUUAAUAUUUUCAUGUUAUAUGAGUGUUUAAGAAGACUCCGAUCUCCAAUUGCUUUUUAGUGAGAUUUAUAAUUUAGAAGUUCUUUUUUUUUUUUAGGUUGAAUUCUAAUUUCCCAUUGUUGUUUUUAUUGAAAGUUCUAAUUUACUAGCAGCUAGCUUUGCUUGUUAUUUCUAUUGCCUGAUAUUGUUUGUUCAUGAAAUGGGCUUAUUAUAUUAAUUUGAAACAAAUAGUUCUAAAAUCACUCUUUCCAUGGCCUUUUGUAAUUAUUCGAUAAAAAAUAAAUUGAUCAAAGUGGUUUAAAAGAAUGCUUUAAAUGUUAGUAUAUAAAAUUGAAGAAGAUAGCCAAAUAUAGAUAUGAGAUCCAGACUCAUAUUCAACUCUAGCUCGUUUAUGGAGGUUUUUAAUCAAGAAUGGCUAAUAGAAUAAAUCAAUUUUUUUUCUUUUUCUUUGGGGAGUGAUUUCAUAUAGAGAUUGUAAGUGAUAUUUUAUUUACCAAUUCUAUCUUUUAGAUUGUACAAAGUUUUCACUGAAAUAUAGAUUUUUUUUAUUU